UGCUCAGUAACACGUGGAUAACCUACCCUUAGGACCGGAAUAACCCCGGGAAACUGGGGAUAAUACCGGAUAAGCCAUAGACGCUGGAAUGCCCUAUGGUUCAAAGCUCCGGCGCCUAAGGAUGGAUCUGCGGUCUAUCAGGUUGUAGUGGGUGUAACGUACCUACUAGCCGACGACGGAUACGGGUUGUGAGAGCAAGAGCCCGGAGAUGGAUUCUGAGACACGAAUCCAGGCCCUACGGGGUGCAGCAGGCGCGAACAUUUUACAAUGCGGGAAACCGCGAUAAGGGAACCCCGAGUGCCAGCAUCAAAUGUUGGCUGUCCGGAUGAUUAAAAAUCAUUUGUUAGCAAGGGCCGGGCAAGACCGGUGCCAGCCGCCGCGGUAACACCGGCGGCCCGAGUGGUAGCCGUUUUUAUUGGGUCUAAAGGGUCCGUAGCCGGCUUGAUAAGUCCUUUGGGAAAUCUGGCAGCUUAACUGUCAGGCUUCUAAGGGAUACUGUCAGGCUUGGGACCGGAAGAGGUAAGGGGUACUCCAGGGGUAGGAGUGAAAUCUUGUAAUCCCUGGGGGACCAUCUGUGGCGAAGGCGCCUUACCAAAACGGGUCCGACGGUGAGGGACGAAAGCUAGGGGAGCAAACCGGAUUAGAUACCCGGGUAGUCCUAGCUGUAAACGAUGCUCGCUAGGUGUCAGACACGGUGCGACCGUGUUUGGUGCCGCAGGGAAGCCGUUAAGCGAGCCACCUGGGAAGUACGGUCGCAAGGCUGAAACUUAAAGGAAUUGGCGGGGGAGCACUACAACGGGUGGAGCCUGCGGUUUAAUUGGAUUCAACGCCGGAAAACUCACCGGGUGCGACAGCAAUAUGUAGGUCAGGCUGAAGGUCUUACCUGAAUCGCUGAGAGGAGGUGCAUGGCCGUCGUCAGUUCGUACUGUGAAGCAUCCUGUUAAGUCAGGCAACGAGCGAGACCCGCGCCCACAGUUGCCAGCAUGUUCUCCGGAACGAUGGGUACACUGUGGGGACCGCCGCUGCUAAAGCGGAGGAAGGAACGGGCUACGGUAGGUCAGUAUGCCCCGAAUCUCCCGGGCUACACGCGGGCUACAAUGGUUGGGACAAUGGGCACCUACCCUGAAAGGGACGGU
This 1136-nucleotide ribosomal RNA is filed under the name uncultured archaeon. RNAcentral's name for it is "bacterial SSU rRNA". It matches the Rfam family "Archaeal small subunit ribosomal RNA", at positions 87 to 1225 of the family's 1478-position model. The record is from RNAcentral.